GAUGAACGCUGGCGGCGUGCUUAACACAUGCAAGUCGAACGGAAAGGCUCCUGCUUGCAGGGGUACUCGAGUGGCGAACGGGUGAGUAACACGUGGGUGAUCUGCCCAGCACUUCGGGAUAAGCCUGGGAAACUGGGUCUAAUACCGGAUAGGACGAUGGUUUGGAUGCCAUUGUGGAAAGUUUUUUCGGUGUGGGAUGAGCUCGCGGCCUAUCAGCUUGUUGGUGGGGUAAUGGCCUACCAAGGCGUCGACGGGUAGCCGGCCUGAGAGGGUGUACGGCCACAUUGGGACUGAGAUACGGCCCAGACUCCUACGGGAGGCAGCAGUGGAGAAUAUUGCACAAUGGGCGCAAGCCUGAUGCAGCGACGCCGCGUGGGGGAUGACGGCCUUCGGGUUGUAAACUCCUUUCGCUAGGGACGAAGCGCAAGUGACGGUACCUGGAGAAGAAGCACCGGCUAACUACGU
RNAcentral lists this ribosomal RNA (465 nucleotides) under uncultured bacterium. RNAcentral's name for it is "partial 16S ribosomal RNA". It matches the Rfam family "Bacterial small subunit ribosomal RNA", at positions 28 to 506 of the family's 1533-position model. The record is from RNAcentral.